This is a non-coding RNA of Schizosaccharomyces pombe (fission yeast), 284 nucleotides long. Lineage: Eukaryota; Fungi; Ascomycota; Schizosaccharomycetes; Schizosaccharomycetales; Schizosaccharomycetaceae. The record is from the annotation of a GenBank genome assembly.
AGUUGAAAAAGAAGAGAUUGCCGAACAUUUCUUAUGAGGAAGGAUUUGUACUUUCUUUUUCGACAAAAGAUGAGGUUCAUAUAGUUUAAAGCGUAUAUGUAGGAUUGGGACAAUUUUAAUGAGCAAGCAACCAUCCUUAGGCUUAAUAAAUUACCUUUCUACGUAAAUUGUAGCCCAUAUCCUCAAAGUUACGAGCUUAGCAAGUCAAACUAACAAUCAACCAACGUUGUUUUCCCACUGUACCUUAUUUAGCAUUCUUCCUAGGUAUGUGAAGUACUUGAAAA